This is a non-coding RNA of Diaporthe helianthi, 70 nucleotides long. The record is from Rfam. Lineage: Eukaryota; Fungi; Ascomycota; Sordariomycetes; Diaporthales; Diaporthaceae.
CUCCACCCCGAUGACACAAUAUCCAGCAGCGGUAUUGUGUAAUGACCUGCAGUGUCAACGGUUGGUGGAG